UGCACUGUAUGAUCAGUUUCUGUCCGCCAAGCACCGCUGUCGUCCACUGGUCUUUGUCGAAGACACAAUAUUUUCCAGUUGUAUUUUACACGUUUUAUAUCAAAUCUUCCGGAAUGGGAAAGAAAGAAGAAGAUGAGAUCAUUAGAAUCGCCAAAAAGAUGGAUAAAAUGGCGCAGAAGAAAAGCGGGUCUGGUGCAUUGGAUCUACUGAAGGAGCUUAGGAGCAUCCCCAUGACUCUCGAACUGCUUCAGUCCACCAGAAUUGGCAUGUCUGUGAACGCCAUACGCAAGCAGAGUACGGACGACGAGGUGACAUCUCUAGCCAAGGCGCUGAUCAAGUCCUGGAAGAAGCUUUUGGAUGAGCCUGGGGGCGGAGACAAAUCCACAGAGGACAAAAGGAAAGACUCCACAAUGCCUGUGGUCUGUCCUUCACAAGGGAGUCCGGAGCCCAAAGAAGAAAGCUCCAGCAGUAACUCCAGCAGUAAGAGUGAGCCCGUCGACCUCAACACCAACACACUCAUCUCAACCUUCCCUCGGGCACCUGGUACAUCGGACUCAGUCAGAAUAAAAUGCAGGGAGAUGCUGUCCAAUGCACUGCAGACCGGAGAUGACCAUAUUGCUAUUGGUGCCGACUGCGAUGAACUUGGGGCUCAGAUUGAGGAAUGCAUCUUCCACGAGUUCAAGAACACUGACAUGAAAUACAAGAACCGGGUGCGGAGCCGGAUCUCCAACCUGAAGGACGUGAAGAACCCGAACCUGAGGAAGACGGUGCUGUGUGGGAACGUGUCCCCGGAACGGAUGGCCAAGAUGAUCGCAGAGGAAAUGGCCAGUGACGAGCUGAAAGAGAUGAGGAAGAAGCAGACCAAAGACGCUGUAAGGGACCACCAGCUGGCCACGACCAGCGGCACCCAGACAGACCUGUUCACCUGUGGAAAGUGCAAGCAGAAGAGGUGUACCUACACUCAGGUAUGGGCUACCUACAGUCACUUACACUCAGGUAUGGGCUGCCUACAGUCACCUACACUCAGGUAUGGGCUGCCUACAGUCACCUACACUCAGGUAUGGGCUGCCUACAGUCACCUACACUCAGGUAUGGGCUGCCUACAGUCACCUACACUCAGGUAUGGGCUGCCUACAGUCUGCGGUGGGAUAGGAUACAGUGGACAGCUGUGUUUCCGAUUCUUUUGGGUUGUAUUUGAGAUGUUGAGUAGUUGACCCAUUCUACUGCUUGUAAGUUGUUAGUGGUGUGAUGUGGUUCUUGGUGCAAAGUGAGGAAAGUUACUGAUGAUGCCACCGUGUUUGCACCUGCUCACUCUUUAGGUCCAGACCCGCAGUGCUGAUGAGCCUAUGACCACGUUUGUCUUCUGUAUGGAUUGCGGAAAUAGAUGGAAGUUCUGUUGAAGGAGAAAAUGAAUUUCCUUUGGAUUUAGAGAAGUAGCUAAAAUCCCGGACCAGGAUUCUGUAUCUACAACAGAUAGAAACGUUGUAUUCUGUGGUACCUGGUGCACAAAUUGCCACAAAAGAAAUCGCAUCCGUUUUUAUUGAAUACCUUGUUCAUAGACCCGAUCCUUGUCAAUACCAAGUCCUGUUUUAAGAGAUACCCCCCUGCCAGAGUAUGAUCAAUCUUGUUGUCUCCCAGUUUCUUUUACCAUCAAUUUUUAUAUGUAGUUUUAACAUUUUGACAGCUAUGACAUACAUUUACUACUAUGUUUUCCUUUGCCCUCACAACAAUGUUUUAUUUAAUUUCCCAAUAAAAUGUAAUCCAUUGGAUUAAAUAAAA
RNA transcript from Hypomesus transpacificus, 1779 nucleotides. It is a transcript of the gene named transcription elongation factor A (SII), 1, with no coding region annotated. NCBI's taxonomy places the organism in Eukaryota, Metazoa, Chordata, Actinopteri, Osmeriformes, Osmeridae. The record is from RefSeq and is a predicted model, not a curated record. The transcript is spliced from 10 exons.